UUAAUUCUGAUUUGCGUUAUCUGAACUUUGGUCUUGUUCUAGGCAUGACUCUUCUUUGUCCGUUGCUCUUUCUAGCUGCAACAGCAGAACUGAAACUCUCCUCGUAGCACCAAUAUUUGGCCACAAAAUAUGACUGAGUGUGUGAGCAUGCAAGUAUCUGCAGCCUGGGAAAGCACUGUGCACUGCUAGGACACAUCGGUCACGCAGGAGGAAUCUCCUACAGCUGGUGGUGGAGCUUGGGGGAACUGCUGAGGAGGUGUCUGUGUCAUCUUGGUGCAAAUGAGCCCAAGGAGCCAGGGAGGAUUUUCCUCCAGAAGAGGUACCCAAGCUCUUUUGUUGACUGCCUGCUAUCAAGGGGAAGGAGGGAUGGACCAUCGU
Molecule: long non-coding RNA, 378 nt
Filed under: Struthio camelus australis
Lineage: Eukaryota; Metazoa; Chordata; Aves; Struthioniformes; Struthionidae
Description: lncRNA (ENSSCUG00000011108.1)
Source: RNAcentral